UUUCUAGAGUUCAAGACAGCUGAAAUCCUCAGGCCUAAUUCCAAAUCCCCAGGGAAGGAGUCUCACUGGCCCAUCUUGAUCCCCAGGAUCACAGUCAGUGGGUGCUGGGGAGCUGGCUUCCAUAGGCUCAUGAGAGCUGACUGUGCACAUCUCUUCCCAACUUUAAGUUCAGUGAUUUCAGACUGAAGGAACCUGAUCUCCACCUCAUGUCUAAGACUUUCCAUGAGACUUUCUUUGAAAACUGUCAAAUUAAACAACUG
Neofelis nebulosa (Clouded leopard) is the source of this 260-nucleotide long non-coding RNA. RefSeq lists it as uncharacterized. The record is from RefSeq and is a predicted model, not a curated record. NCBI's taxonomy places the organism in Eukaryota, Metazoa, Chordata, Mammalia, Carnivora, Felidae. The transcript has 3 exons.